This 253-nucleotide ribosomal RNA is filed under the name uncultured bacterium. Its description in RNAcentral is "partial 16S ribosomal RNA". It matches the Rfam family "Bacterial small subunit ribosomal RNA", at positions 524 to 776 of the family's 1533-position model. The record is from RNAcentral.
UACGUAGGUGGCAAGCGUUGUCCGGAAUUAUUGGGCGUAAAGCGCGCGCAGGCGGUCCCUUAAGUCUGAUGUGAAAUCUCGCGGCUCAACCGUGAGCGGUCAUUGGAAACUGGGAGACUUGAGUGCAGAAGAGAAGAGCGGAAUUCCACGUGUAGCGGUGAAAUGCGUAGAGAUGUGGGGGAACACCAGUGGCGAAGGCGGCUCUUUGGUCUGUAACUGACGCUGAGGCGCGAAAGCGUGGGGAGCGAACAGG